GACGAACGCUGGCGGCGUGCUUAACACAUGCAAGUCGAACGGAAAGGCCCUGCUUUUGUGGGGUGCUCGAGUGGCGAACGGGUGAGUAACACGCGAGUAACCUGCCCUUGACUUUGGGAUAACUUCAGGAAACUGGGGCUAAUACCGGAUAGGAGCUCCUGCUGCAUGGUGGGGGUUGGAAAGUUUCGGCGGUUGGGGAUGGACUCGCGGCUUAUCAGCUUGUUGGUGGGGUAGUGGCUUACCAAGGCUUUGACGGGUAGCCGGCCUGAGAGGGUGACCGGCCACAUUGGGACUGAGAUACGGCCCAGACUCCUACGGGAGGCAGCAGUGGGGAAUAUUGCACAAUGGGCGGAAGCCUGAUGCAGCAACGCCGCGUGCGGGAUGACGGCCUUCGGGUUGUAAACCGCUUUCGCCUGUGACGAAGCGUGAGUGACGGUAAUGGGUAAAGAAGCACCGGCUAACUACGUGCCAGCAGCCGCGGUGAUACGUAAGGGUGCGAGCGUUGUCCGGAUUUAUUGGGCGUAAAGGGCUCGUAGGUGGUUGAUCGCGUCGGAAGUGUAAUCUUGGGGCUUAACCCUGAGCGUGCUUUCGAUACGGGUUGACUUGAGGAAGGUAGGGGAGAAUGGAAUUCCUGGUGGAGCGGUGGAAUGCGCAGAUAUCAGGAGGAACACCAGUGGCGAAGGCGGUUCUCUGGGCCUUUCCUGACGCUGAGGAGCGAAAGCGUGGGGAGCGAACAGGCUUAGAUACCCUGGUAGUCCACGCUGUAAACGGUGGGUACUAGGUGUGGGGUCCAUUCCACGGGUUCCGCGCCGUAGCUAACGCUUUAAGUACCCCGCCUGGGGAGUACGGCCGCAAGGCUAAAACUCAAAGGAAUUGACGGGGCCCCGCACAAGCGGCGGAGCAUGCGGAUUAAUUCGAUGCAACGCGUAGAACCUUACCUGGGUUUGACAUGGAUCGGGAGUGCUCAGAGAUGGGUGUGCCUCUUUUGGGGUCGGUUCACAGGUGGUGCAUGGCUGUCGUCAGCUCGUGUCGUGAGAUGUUGGGUUAAGUCCCGCAACGAGCGCAACCCUUGUUCACUGUUGCCAGCACGUUAUGGUGGGGACUCAGUGGAGACCGCCGGGGUCAACUCGGAGGAAGGUGGGGAUGACGUCAAGUCAUCAUGCCCCUUAUGUCCAGGGCUUCACGCAUGCUACAAUGGCUGGUACAGAGAGUGGCGAGCCUGUGAGGGUGAGCGAAUCUCGGAAAGCCGGUCUCAGUUCGGAUUGGGGUCUGCAACUCGACCUCAUGAAGUCGGAGUCGCUAGUAAUCGCAGAUCAGCAACGCUGCGGUGAAUACGUUCCCGGGGCUUGUACACACCGCCCGUCAAGUCAUGAAAGUUGGUAACACCCGAAGCCGGUGGCCUAACCGUUGUGGGGGAGCCGUCGAAGGUGGGACUGGUGAUUAGGACU
RNAcentral lists this ribosomal RNA (1448 nucleotides) under uncultured bacterium. RNAcentral's name for it is "partial 16S ribosomal RNA". It matches the Rfam family "Bacterial small subunit ribosomal RNA". The record is from RNAcentral.